AGAGUUUGAUCCUGGCUCAGGACGAACGCUGGCGGCGUGCCUUAAUACAUGCAAGUCGAACGAACUCUGGUAUUGAUUGGUGCUUGCAUCAUGAUUUACAUUUGAGUGAGUGGCGAACUGGUGAGUAACACGUGGGAAACCUGCCCAGAAGCGGGGGAUAACACCUGGAAACAGAUGCUAAUACCCGCAUAACAACUUGGACCGCAUGGUCCGAGCUUGAAAGAUGGCUUCGGCUAUCACUUUUGGAUGGUCCCGCGGCGUAUUAGCUAGAUGGUGGGGUAACGGCUCACCAUGGCAAUGAUACGUAGCCGACCUGAGAGGGUAAUCGGCCACAUUGGGACUUGAGACACGGCCCAAACUCCUACGGGAGGCAGCAGUAGGGAAUCUUCCACAAUGGACGAAAGUCUGAUGGAGCAACGCCGCGUGAGUGAAGAAGGGUUUCGGCUCGUAAAACUCUGUUGUUAAAGAAGAACAUAUCUGAGAGUAACUGUUCAGGUAUUGACGGUAUUUAACCAGAAAGCCACGGCUAACUACGUGCCAGCAGCCGCGGUAAUACGUAGGUGGCAAGCGUUGUCCGGAUUUAUUGGGCGUAAAGCGAGCGCAGGCGGUUUUUUAAGUCUGAUGUGAAAGCCUUCGGCUCAACCGAAGAAGUGCAUCGGAAACUGGGAAACUUGAGUGCAGAAGAGGACAGUGGAACUCCAUGUGUAGCGGUGAAAUGCGUAGAUAUAUGGAAGAACACCAGUGGCGAAGGCGGCUGUCUGGUCUGUAACUGACGCUGAGGCUCGAAAGUAUGGGUAGCAAACAGGAUUAGAUACCCUGGUAGUCCAUACCGUAAACGAUGAAUGCUAAGUGUUGGAGGGUUUCCGCCCUUCAGUGCUGCAGCUAACGCAUUAAGCAUUCCGCCUGGGGAGUACGGCCGCAAGGCUGAAACUCAAAGGAAUUGACGGGGGCCCGCACAAGCGGUGGAGCAUGUGGUUUAAUUCGAAGCUACGCGAAGAACCUUACCAGGUCUUGACAUACUAUGCAAAUCUAAGAGAUUAGACGUUCCCUUCGGGGACAUGGAUACAGGUGGUGCAUGGUGUCGUCAGCUCGUGUCGUGAGAUGUUGGGUUAAGUCCCGCAACGAGCGCAACCCUUAUUAUCAGUUGCCAGCAUUAAGUUGGGCACUCUGGUGAGACUGCCGGUGACAAACCGGAGGAAGGUGGGGAUGACGUCAAAUCAUCAUGCCCCUUAUGACCUGGGCUACACACGUGCUACAAUGGAUGGUACAACGAGUUGCGAACUCGCGAGAGUAAGCUAAUCUCUUAAAGCCAUUCUCAGUUCGGAUUGUAGGCUGCAACUCGCCUACAUGAAGUCGGAAUCGCUAGUAAUCGCGGAUCAGCAUGCCGCGGUGAAUACGUUCCCGGGCCUUGUACACACCGCCCGUCACACCAUGAGAGUUUGUAACACCCAAAGUCGGUGGGGUAACCUUUUAGGAACCAGCCGCCUAAGGUGGGACAGAUGAUUAGGGUGAAGUCGUAACAAGGGUAACC
Molecule: ribosomal RNA, 1531 nt
Filed under: Lactiplantibacillus plantarum subsp. plantarum
Lineage: Bacteria; Bacillati; Bacillota; Bacilli; Lactobacillales; Lactobacillaceae
Description: Lactobacillus plantarum subsp. plantarum 16S ribosomal RNA
Rfam family: Bacterial small subunit ribosomal RNA
Source: RNAcentral